This 460-nucleotide ribosomal RNA is filed under the name uncultured bacterium. RNAcentral describes it as "partial 16S ribosomal RNA". It matches the Rfam family "Bacterial small subunit ribosomal RNA", at positions 338 to 795 of the family's 1533-position model. The record is from RNAcentral.
CCUACGGGUGGCAGCAGUGAGGAAUAUUGGUCAAUGGACGAGAGUCUGAACCAGCCAAGUAGCGUGAAGUAUGACUGCCCUAUGGGUUGUAAACUUCUUUUAUAUGGGAAUAAAAUGUUCCACGUGUGGGAUUUUGUAUGUACCAUAUGAAUACGGAUCGGCUAACUCCGUGCCAGCAGCCACGGUAAUACGGAGGAUCCGAGCGUUAUCCGGAUUUAUUGGGUUUAAAGGGAGCGUAGGUGGAUUGUUAAGUCAGUUGUGAAAGUUUGCGGCUCAACCGUAAAAUUGCAGUUGAAACUGGCAGUCUUGAGUACAGUAGAGGUGGGCGGAAUUCGUGGUGUAGCGGUGAAAUGCUUAGAUAUCACGAAGAACUCCGAUUGCGAAGGCAGUUCACUGGACUGCAACUGACACUGAGGCUCGAAAGUGUGGGUAUCAAACAGGAUUAGAUACCCGUGUAGUC